Molecule: ribosomal RNA, 852 nt
Filed under: human gut metagenome
Description: bacterial SSU rRNA
Rfam family: Bacterial small subunit ribosomal RNA
Source: RNAcentral
CAGGAUGAACGCUGGCGGCGUGCCUAAUACAUGCAAGUCGAACGCUUCACUUCGGUGAAGAGUGGCGAACGGGUGAGUAAUACAUAAGUAACCUGGCAUCUACAGGGGGAUAACUGAUGGAAACGUCAGCUAAGACCGCAUAGGUGUAGAGAUCGCAUGAACUCUAUAUGAAAAGUGCUACGGGACUGGUAGAUGAUGGACUUAUGGCGCAUUAGCUUGUUGGUAGGGUAACGGCCUACCAAGGCGACGAUGCGUAGCCGACCUGAGAGGGUGACCGGCCACACUGGGACUGAGACACGGCCCAGACUCCUACGGGAGGCAGCAGUAGGGAAUUUUCGGCAAUGGGGGAAACCCUGACCGAGCAACGCCGCGUGAAGGAAGAAGUAAUUCGUUAUGUAAACUUCUGUCAUAGAGGAAGAACGGUGGAUAUAGGGAAUGAUAUCCAAGUGACGGUACUCUAUAAGAAAGCCACGGCUAACUACGUGCCAGCAGCCGCGGUAAUACGUAGGUGGCGAGCGUUAUCCGGAAUUAUUGGGCGUAAAGAGGGAGCAGGCGGCACUAAGGGUCUGUGGUGAAAGAUCGAAGCUUAACUUCGGUAAGCCAUGGAAACCGUAGAGCUAGAGUGUGUGAGAGGAUCGUGGAAUUCCAUGUGUAGCGGUGAAAUGCGUAGAUAUAUGGAGGAACACCAGUGGCGAAGGCGACGAUCUGGCGCAUAACUGACGCUCAGUCCCGAAAGCGUGGGGAGCAAAUAGGAUUAGAUACCCUAGUAGUCCACGCCGUAAACGAUGAGUACUAAGUGUUGGGGGUCAAACCUCAGUGCUGCAGUUAACGCAAUAAGUACUCCGCCUGAGU